CCUACGGGAGGCAGCAGUGGGGAAUAUUGCACAAUGGGGGAAACCCUGAUGCAGCGACGCCGCGUGAGUGAAGAAGUAAUUCGUUACGUAAAGCUCUAUCAGCAGGGAAGAAACACUGACCUUACGGUCAGCAGACGGUACCUGAGUAAGAAGCCCCGGCUAACUACGUGCCAGCAGUCGCGGUAAUACGACGGGGGCAAGCGUUAUCCGGAUUUACUGGGUGGAAAGGGGGCGUAGACGGUGCGCCAAGUCUGGAGUGAAAAGCCGCAGCUUAACUGCGGAACUGCUUUGGAAACUGGCGAACUAGAGUGCGGGAGAGGUAAGCGGAAUGCGUGGUGUAGCGGUGAAAUGCGUAGAUAUUAGGAGGAACACCGGUGGCGAAGGCGGCUUACUGGACCGUAACUGACGUUGAGGCUCGAAAGCGUGGGGAGCAAACAGGAUUAGAUACCCUAGUAGUC
This 458-nucleotide ribosomal RNA is filed under the name uncultured bacterium. RNAcentral describes it as "partial 16S ribosomal RNA". It matches the Rfam family "Bacterial small subunit ribosomal RNA", at positions 338 to 795 of the family's 1533-position model. The record is from RNAcentral.